RNAcentral lists this ribosomal RNA (495 nucleotides) under uncultured bacterium. Its description in RNAcentral is "partial 16S ribosomal RNA". It matches the Rfam family "Bacterial small subunit ribosomal RNA", at positions 27 to 507 of the family's 1533-position model. The record is from RNAcentral.
GGACGAACGCUGGCGGCGUGCUUAACACAUGCAAGUCGAACGGAAAGGCCUGCUUUCCCUUGUGGAUUGCGGGUACUCGAGUGGCGAACGGGUGAGUAACACGUGAGUGAUCUGCCCCCAACUUGGGUAUAAGCCUGGGAAACUGGGUCUAAUUCCCGAUAGGACUGCAGGGUGGUGCCUGUGGUGGAAAACGAUUUUCUAGUGGUUGGGGGUGAGCUCGCGGCCUAUCAGCUUGUUGGUGGGGUAAUGGCCUACCAAGGCGGCGACGGGUAGCCGGCCUGAGAGGGUGGACGGCCACAUUGGGACUGAGAUACGGCCCAGACUCCUACGGGAGGCAGCAGUGGGGAAUAUUGCACAAUGGGCGGAAGCCUGAUGCAGCGACGCCGCGUGGGGGAUGACGGCCUUCGGGUUGUAAACUCCUUUCGACCGCGAGGAAGCCACCUGGUUGGAAGGGUGGUGACGGUAGUGGUAGAAGAAGCACCGGCUAACUACGUG